CAGUAGCCGCGGUAAUACGAAGGGGGCUAGCGUUGCUCGGAAUAACUGGGCGUAAAGGGCGCGUAGGCGGUUUGUACAGUUGGAUGUGAAAUUCCUGGGCUUAACCUGGGGGCUGCAUUCAAUACGUGCAGGCUUGAGUGGGGAAGAGGGUCGUGGAAUUCCCAGUGUAGAGGUGAAAUUCGUAGAUAUUGGGAAGAACACCGGUGGCGAAGGCGGCGACCUGGUCCUUGACUGACGCUGAGGCGCGAAAGCGUGGGGAGCAAACAGGAUUAGAUACCCGCGUAGUCCCUGUCUCUUAUAC
This 301-nucleotide ribosomal RNA is filed under the name uncultured bacterium. RNAcentral describes it as "partial 16S ribosomal RNA". It matches the Rfam family "Bacterial small subunit ribosomal RNA", at positions 509 to 807 of the family's 1533-position model. The record is from RNAcentral.